This 839-nucleotide long non-coding RNA is filed under the name Callithrix jacchus (white-tufted-ear marmoset). Its description in RNAcentral is "lncRNA (ENSCJAG00000069838.1)". The record is from RNAcentral. Lineage: Eukaryota; Metazoa; Chordata; Mammalia; Primates; Cebidae.
CCCUGAGGGACAAGUGUCCACUUUUGAAAAUGACCAGCCACUCCACAGCCCUUGUGACAUAUCCAGUCAGUGACUGUGUGUUCAGCAACGGAGCUGAUGGCAGGAAGACAUCUCUGGGAGAAGGAGAACAGGACCAGCCAAACUUGCCUUUAGAAAUAAAAUUCACCUCGAUCCAAAAAUCUCAUAGUGCAUUUUUAUUAUGUCCACCACAGUGAAUGGGGCAUCGCGGGGGACACAGAGAAGGAAGACAUGGCACCGGGCCUCAAGGAACUUGGAAUCUGAUGUGUUCUUUGCUCGAAAAGGGAAGAGAGGCAGGAAGAAAGAAGGCACAUCUGUUGUCAAGCCUUCACCCUACCUUACUUGCAAAAUUACAAUGUACAAACUUAACAUGAGUAAUUUUCAGAAAAAGCUUCCUUGGUGGCAAGUCAACUGCCAUGCUAUGAGCUGUGCUGUGGAGAGGCCCACAUGGCAAGGAAAUGAAGGAGGCCAGUAGCCAGUGUGCAGCUGAGUCUUGCAACCAUGUAUGGUUAAUCUGGAGCAGCCUCUGAUUUGGGGAAGAACAGGGGGUGCACACUGCGGAGAGUCAGUCCCGGUCAGUCUGGGCAUGGCUCUCAGUGGGCUAACCCAUGAAGCACUUCUGACCCUUUUCCCCCUCUAAGUAAAUAAAUCAGGCCGCCACGUUCUCCAGGACUGGCUCUUCUGGUACUGACAUCAGGCCACCCUUAAGUUAAAGAACACGUCAGACUCACCAGCUGCUGGAUUUAAUUUGCCGAUUUGGUAUGAACUGUGGCUUCUCUAGGAAAUCUGCUAUGCACAGACAAGCGAGAAAGAACCACGCG